CCUACGGGUGGCAGCAGUGAGGAAUAUUGGUCAAUGGACGAGAGUCUGAACCAGCCAAGUAGCGUGAAGGAUGACUGCCCUAUGGGUUGUACACUUCUUUUAUAUGGGAAUAAAAUGUUCCACGUGUGGGAUUUUGUAGGUACCAUAUGAAUAAGGAUCGGCUAACUCCGUUCCAGCAGCCGCGGUAAUACGGAAGAUCCGAGCGUUAUCCGGAUUUAUUGGGUUUAAAGGGAGCGUAGGUGGAUUGUUAAGUUAGUUGUUAAAGUUUGCGGCUCAACCGUAAAAUUGCAGUUGAAACUGGCAGUCUUGAGUACAGUAGAGGUAGGCGGAAUGCGGGGUGUAGCGGUGAAAUGCUGAGAUAUCACGAAGAACUCCGAUUGCGAAGGCAACUCACUGGACUGCAACUGACACUGAGGCUCGAAGGUGUGGGUAUCAAACAGGAUUAGAUACCCGGGUAGUC
This 460-nucleotide ribosomal RNA is filed under the name uncultured bacterium. RNAcentral's name for it is "partial 16S ribosomal RNA". It matches the Rfam family "Bacterial small subunit ribosomal RNA", at positions 338 to 795 of the family's 1533-position model. The record is from RNAcentral.